Molecule: ribosomal RNA, 486 nt
Filed under: uncultured bacterium
Lineage: Bacteria
Description: partial 16S ribosomal RNA
Rfam family: Bacterial small subunit ribosomal RNA
Source: RNAcentral
AUUGAACGCUGGCGGCAUGCCUUACACAUGCAAGUCGAACGGCAGCACGGGUGCUUGCACCUGGUGGCGAGUGGCGAACGGGUGAGUAAUACAUCGGAACAUGUCCUGUAGUGGGGGAUAGCCCGGCGAAAGCCGGAUUAAUACCGCAUACGAUCCACGGAUGAAAGCGGGGGACCUUCGGGCCUCGCGCUAUAGGGUUGGCCGAUGGCUGAUUAGCUAGUUGGUGGGGUAAAGGCCUACCAAGGCGACGAUCAGUAGCUGGUCUGAGAGGACGACCAGCCACACUGGGACUGAGACACGGCCCAGACUCCUACGGGAGGCAGCAGUGGGGAAUUUUGGACAAUGGGCGAAAGCCUGAUCCAGCAAUGCCGCGUGUGUGAAGAAGGCCUUCGGGUUGUAAAGCACUUUUGUCCGGAAAGAAAUCCUUGGCUCUAAUACAGUCGGGUAAUGACGGUACCGGAAGAAUAAGCACCGGCUAACUACGUG